ACAUUCCGUGACUUCCGGGCACUUCGUAAGGUUUAAAUAAGGUUGCUUUGCGGUAGCUCGGCCUCUUGGGGACAGUCUCAACCGUCGGCUCUUCGGCUCGGAUUCGUUAAGUAUUCCAAGUAACACUUGGAAAGAAGAGGAUCUGCACUGCAUUGGGCAUUGACAUUGAACUUUUGGGUCCUUUAUAUAGAAGGGAGAGUAGGUAAA
This is a non-coding RNA of Saimiri boliviensis boliviensis (Bolivian squirrel monkey), 207 nucleotides long. The record is from RefSeq and is a predicted model, not a curated record. NCBI's taxonomy places the organism in Eukaryota, Metazoa, Chordata, Mammalia, Primates, Cebidae.